Molecule: ribosomal RNA, 482 nt
Filed under: Alvinactis chessi
Lineage: Eukaryota; Metazoa; Cnidaria; Anthozoa; Actiniaria; Actinoscyphiidae
Description: partial 16S ribosomal RNA
Rfam family: Bacterial large subunit ribosomal RNA
Source: RNAcentral
GUCACUGACCGUGAUAAUGUAGCGUAAUCAAUAGCCAAUUAAUUGUUGGCCGGUAUGAAUGGCAUCACGAAGGCCCCACUGUCUUAAGAGGACUCUCCAUGAAAUUGAAUUCGUAGUGAAGAUGCUACGUCCAUAUUGUAAGACGAAAAGACCCCAUUGAGCUUUACUAAAGACUUGUAUAGCUCGAAAUAACUUAAAUAAAAAGUUUAGAUAAUGUGGGACCCGUUUUUGGUUAAUGAAACACCACUCUUUUAUUUUAAGAGAGCUAACCUUGUAGGGAAAAUGCAAGUUGGAUAGUUUGGUUGGGGCGACCACCUUUUAAAAGGUAACGAAGGUGAGCUUAAGGUCCGUAGUUAAUAGCUGGUGGCCUGACUGCAAGGGGGACACUCCGAGCAGACACGUCCUUAGGGAUGUGGGUUAUAGUGACCCGUCAUCUUAGAGUGGAAUAGUUGACGAUCAACGAAUAAAAGCUACCAUGGGGA